CAGGCCCGCGCCUCGGCCGGCCAUUUUCUUCCUGCUACUGCUGCUGGGCAGCAAGAGCUGCCGUCACACGGCCCUGCUGCUCUGCUCUGACGGAGAGGGGGCUGUGCCUCAUGCACCGGCUAUUAGAGCAGGUGGAGCGCAACGGAUGUGCAACGGAAACGAUGAGUUGUCUAAUUUGUAUAGAUAAGAACCACGUCCCCUGUACAGGGGUGUUGAAGUUUCUGUCAUUGCGGUUGAGCAUAUUCGGAAAGAAAACGCUGAAUCUUCUCAGGUUGCUUCCUGAAUGUGCAUAACUGAAAGCCAUCCAAAGUCGCAUCCAAAGAAUCUGUGUAACUCCAGCUCAAGUAUAACCCCGCAUGAGGCCUGCUCCAAAAGCAACGCAUCCCAUUUCAUUAUGCUGGCCUACAGUGUCAGAGGUGUCUGUUGGAUGUACAGCAGGCAUGUGUUAUCAGACUUUUGUUGGCGGCAGUCAGCCAUACAGCUGGGUCAAAGCAGGGACUUUUGAGGCAGUCCUGACCUGCAUGGAUCCAGUGAUUAAGCCUGGGAUGGAGCAGUGGCUGGACGGAGCUAAUCAGAGCCCGUGCACCCAAGGAUAUGAGCCCACGUACACCUCGCUCUACUUGCGUUACAAUGGCCAGGUACAGAGCUGGUAAUACACAGUGGGAAGCAGAUGAUAACCAGGCAUGUCCAACCUGCAGCCUGCUGGCCACAUGCGGCCCAGCCCAGCCUGUCCUGAGGCCUUCCCCUGCCUCGCGCCAUCAUGGCGGCGGCUCCGCCCCACCCAUCGCUCAGCACCAUUCAAACAUCAGUGUGCUAUUAACGCUGUCUGGGCUGAAGCCAGGGCAUGAGAAGGGUGCAGUGCAGUGCGAACUCAAGUUAUGGCAAAUGAUUGUGUGCAUGUUGAUACAUUAUCUAAGAGUCCUGUGAACAGUAGAAAAAGCUGUGCCUUUUGUUUGAUACAGGAAUCUGAAAAUAGGUUUCAAGCUUCCAAAAAAAAAAA
This is a non-coding RNA of Meleagris gallopavo (turkey), 1000 nucleotides long. The record is from RefSeq and is a predicted model, not a curated record. Lineage: Eukaryota; Metazoa; Chordata; Aves; Galliformes; Phasianidae.